This is a long non-coding RNA of Hippocampus comes (tiger tail seahorse), 655 nucleotides long. RefSeq lists it as uncharacterized. The record is from RefSeq and is a predicted model, not a curated record. Lineage: Eukaryota; Metazoa; Chordata; Actinopteri; Syngnathiformes; Syngnathidae. The transcript has 2 exons.
AUUGUGAGCUUGCUGUUGUUCGUCUGAGUGUGCCAUGUGAUUGGCUGGCAACCAGUUCAGAGUGUACAUUGCCUGUUGCCCGAUGACAGUUGGGAAAGACUCCAGCACGCCCGCCACCCUGAGGAUAAUCAGUUCGGAUCAUGGAUGGAUGGGUUUAACUCGAAUGCAAAAUAGUGUUUUUUUCUACUGUUGUACUUACUACACCCGUGCAGUAGGCGGCGCUGUGAAAUUCAGGGACACGAUUCGACUUGAUUUAAAGUAGUUUCUAGCUUGGUUUUGUUUGAGUCGCCAGAGGUCUUGAAGUUUUGUUUGAUAUUUCAAGCGAGUAAUAACAUUUUCGCUUAUUGGUAAUGUUUGCAAAGCCCAGUAAAGCACAUUUAGCAUCGCGCUAGCGACUGUUUUUAACAGUCGAAGAAGAAAACGAACAAGAGAAGAAGAAGGCGCAGAAGAUUCCUCCUUGGAAGCAUGGCGCGGAGCAUGUACAUCCACGAAGAGCUCAACGCUAACAGACUGUACCAGAAAAGUAAGUAUCUUACAUUUCGUGCAAAUUAAUGAAUUAAUAGCCAUCCCAAUGAUUAUAGCAAUCACUACCCAUCUGACUCAUUCCCAAAGUCUGGGGAAGAUUAGACACGGCAAUAAUGAUGAGGGUUUGGGG